CCUANGGGUGGCAGCAGUGAGGAAUUUUGGGCAAUGGGCGAAAGCCUGACCCAGCGACGCCGCGUGGGCGAUGAAGGUCUUCGGAUCGUAAAGCCCUGUGAGUUGGGAAGAAGUCUCUAUGUGCUAAUAUCACUUAGAGGUGACAGUACCAACAGAGGAAGCCCCGGCUAACUACGUGCCAGCAGCCGCGGUAAAACGUAGGGGGCUAGCGUUGUUCGGAAUUACUGGGCGUAAAGCGCGUGUAGGCGGUUUGGUAAGUCGGAAGUGAAAUUCCUAGGCUCAACCUAGGAACUGCUUUCGAAACUGUUGAACUUGAGUAUGGGCGGGGAGAGCGGAAUUCCCGGUGUAGCGGUGAAAUGCGUAGAUAUCGGGAAGAACACCAGUGGCGAAGGCGGCUCUCUGGACCAUUACUGACGCUGAGACGCGAAAGCGUGGGUAGCAAACAGGAUUAGAUACCCCUNUANUC
Molecule: ribosomal RNA, 466 nt
Filed under: uncultured bacterium
Lineage: Bacteria
Description: bacterial SSU rRNA
Rfam family: Bacterial small subunit ribosomal RNA
Source: RNAcentral